RNAcentral lists this long non-coding RNA (204 nucleotides) under Brassica napus (rape). Its description in RNAcentral is "long non-coding RNA (BNAP_LNC010890)". The record is from RNAcentral. Lineage: Eukaryota; Viridiplantae; Streptophyta; Magnoliopsida; Brassicales; Brassicaceae.
GAAUGAGAAAGUAGCAAACGCACAAGUCUUGUAUUUCUAAUCUUUUUCUUUUGCAAGAAAAAGGGCCGUAAAAACAGACGGAUAAUAAGUUAUUCAUAGGCCUAGGUUCGUUUAGCCGGGCUUUAGCUGAUUUCCCACUAACAUUUCCAAUUAAAGUUUUGAUUAUAAAACUAAAACUCUAUAUAAAUUAAUAGUAUCAAUAAU